Molecule: non-coding RNA, 316 nt
Organism: Methanohalobium evestigatum Z-7303
Lineage: Archaea; Methanobacteriati; Methanobacteriota; Methanomicrobia; Methanosarcinales; Methanosarcinaceae
Rfam family: Archaeal signal recognition particle RNA
Source: Rfam
CGGCGGGCUAGCCCGGGUGGUUCGGCGUCACCUGUAACCUGAAAUACGUCGAUAUGCAGGGGGCGAAGCCGAUGGAAGGUGUCCUUCUCGUUUUCAAACCUGGGGUUUCAACUAAGAAGCUCCGUCCUGCUUGGACGAUGUUAAUACGGAGGCUUCCCGGAAGGUAGGUUUCCGUAUUUUAACCGCGAGAACCGGUCUAGGCCCGGAAGGGAGCAGACUAACCGCGGACAUCCGUCGCUUGCAGGGUUGCGGGGUGGAGAAGAAACCACAGAUAAUUUGGAAACGAGAAGGGCAUCAACCUGAGGCGUGUCCGCCA